This 225-nucleotide long non-coding RNA is filed under the name Brassica rapa (field mustard). Its description in RNAcentral is "long non-coding RNA (BRAP_LNC008608)". Lineage: Eukaryota; Viridiplantae; Streptophyta; Magnoliopsida; Brassicales; Brassicaceae. The record is from RNAcentral.
UUGAUGGUGAAGUAGCUUGAAUGGUGAUAAGUGUGUCUUGGUUGAUCAAGCUUCUACCAAGACAUUCCUCUUGCUUCCAUGACAUCUUAACCAAUCCUCCAAUAGCUUGCGUGAGCUUCCUUGAUCUUGAUCGAGUUAGAGGUCCUUUAGAUAAGACUAGAACAUCUUCAUCAGCCGGCUUAUCUAGAUCCUCAUCAUCUUCAUUAGCUAGUUGGUCCAUGAUCA